GAUGAACGCUGGCGGCGUGCUUAACACAUGCAAGUCGAACGGUGAACACGGAGCUUCCUCUGUGGGAUCAGUGGCGAACGGGUGAGUAACACGUGAGCACCCUGCCCCUGACUCUGGUAUAAGCGCUGGAAACGGCGUCUAAUACUGGAUAUGUGACGUGACCGCAUGGUGUGCGUUUGGAAAGAUUUUUCGGUGGGGGAUGGGCUCGGGGCCUAUUAGUUUGUUGGUGAGGUUCUGGCUCACCAGGGCGUCGUAGGGUGCCCGGGCUGAGGGGGUGCCGGGACAUACGGGGUGUGAGACACGCCCGAGUCCCCUGCGGGGGGGAAGAGUGGGAAAUAUUGCACAGUGGGCGAAAGUGUUGUGCAGCAGCGCCGCGGGGGGUGUAGCGGCCUUCGUGGUGUAAACCUUUUUUAGGGGAGAAGGAGCGAUAGUGACGGUACCUGGAGAAGAAGCGCCGGCUAACUACGUG
This 469-nucleotide ribosomal RNA is filed under the name uncultured bacterium. RNAcentral's name for it is "partial 16S ribosomal RNA". It matches the Rfam family "Bacterial small subunit ribosomal RNA", at positions 28 to 507 of the family's 1533-position model. The record is from RNAcentral.